Hemicordylus capensis (graceful crag lizard) is the source of this 281-nucleotide long non-coding RNA. RefSeq lists it as uncharacterized. Lineage: Eukaryota; Metazoa; Chordata; Lepidosauria; Squamata; Cordylidae. The record is from RefSeq and is a predicted model, not a curated record. The transcript is spliced from 3 exons.
AGCAGAUCAGUCUCACCAGAUGGCAGCAAAAACCUCCACCAAAACAACCACGUCCUCGGCCAUUUCCCAGCAGACCACCAGUGAGCGCUCCGGCAAAGCGAAGCAGAAGAAGCGAGCCACCUUAAUGUUUUGCCAGAGCGAGGCAGAAAGUCAACCGAAAGAUAGGAGCUCAAGCAAGAAGAGACGGGUCGAGAAGGGGAAGGCAGGUCACCCAACCUCAACAUCACAGGACAACGAGGAUUCUGAGUCCUCUUACUCUGCAUACCUGCAGCGGCUGCUUU